RNAcentral lists this ribosomal RNA (422 nucleotides) under uncultured bacterium. RNAcentral describes it as "bacterial SSU rRNA". It matches the Rfam family "Bacterial small subunit ribosomal RNA", at positions 359 to 773 of the family's 1533-position model. The record is from RNAcentral.
GAAUAUUGGACAAUGGGGGCAACCCUGAUCCAGCGAUGCCGCGUGUGUGAAGAAGGCCUUCGGGUUGUAAAGCACUUUAGUUGGGGAAGAAGAUUUGUAGUUUAAGAGAUGACAAAUUUGACGGUACCCAAAGAAUAAGCACCGGCUAACUCUGUGCCAGCAGCCGCGGUAAUACAGAGGGUGCGAGCGUUAAUCGGAAUUACUGGGCGUAAAGGGCGCGUAGGUGGUUUUGUAAGUGCAUUGUGAAAUACCCGGGCUUAACCUGGGGAGGUCAAUGCAAACUGUGGAACUAGAGUACAGUAGAGGGUGGCGGAAUUUCCGGUGUAGCGGUGAAAUGCGUAGAGAUCGGAAGGAACAUCAGUGGCGAAGGCGGCCACCUGGACUGAUACUGACACUGAGGCGCGAGAGCGUGGGGAGCAAAC